Molecule: long non-coding RNA, 267 nt
Organism: Sapajus apella (tufted capuchin)
Lineage: Eukaryota; Metazoa; Chordata; Mammalia; Primates; Cebidae
Exons: 4
Source: RefSeq, a predicted model, not a curated record
UCAAUGUGAAGACAACAAGGAUGAAGGUCUUUGCAAUGAUCCAUUUCCACUUAAUGAAUAGUAAAUGUAUUUUCUCUUCCUUUUCUUUAUAACAUUUCUUUUCUCUGUCUUAUUUUAUUGUAAGAAUACACUGUAUAAUACAUGUAACACACAAAACAUGUAUUAAUUGACUGUUUAUGUUACUGGCAAGGCUUCUGGUUAACAGUAGGCUACUAGUAGUUAAGUUUGUGGGGAGCCAAAUGUUUAUAUGCUGGCCAGGUGUGGUGG